This 444-nucleotide ribosomal RNA is filed under the name uncultured bacterium. Its description in RNAcentral is "bacterial SSU rRNA". It matches the Rfam family "Bacterial small subunit ribosomal RNA", at positions 331 to 792 of the family's 1533-position model. The record is from RNAcentral.
CCAGACUCCUACGGGAGGCAGCAGUGGGGAAUAUUGCACAAUGGGGGGAACCCUGAUGCAGCGACGCCGCGUGGGUGAAGGAGCACCUCGGUGCGUAAAGCCCUAUCGGCAGGGAAGAAACAGACGGUACCUGACUAAGAAGCCCCGGCUAACUACGUGCCAGCAGCCGCGGUAAUACGUAGGGGGCAAGCGUUAUCCGGAUUUACUGGGUGUAAAGGGAGCGUAGACGGCAGCGCAAGUCUGGAGUGAAAUGCCGGGGCUCAACCCCGGAACUGCUUUGGAAACUGUGCAGCUAGAGUGCGGGAGAGGUAAGCGGAAUUCCUAGUGUAGCGGUGAAAUGCGUAGAUAUUAGGAGGAACACCAGUGGCGAAGGCGGCUUGCUGGACCGUAACUGACGUUGAGGCUCGAAAGCGUGGGGAGCGAACAGGAUUAGAUACCCCCGUA